GACGAACGCUGGCGGCGUGCCUAACACAUGCAAGUCGAGCGGUCCUGCAUUCAACAUUGAGUAUUCAGCAGGCGUUGGAGAUGUAACCAGCGUCAAGCAGAAACGACUAUAUAUUAUAAUUUUUUGAAGUUUCUGCUUCACGCCAAAUCAAGUGCCAACACAAAGGGAGCUGAGUAUUGAAUGUUGAAUGCAGGAUAGCGGCGGACGGGUGAGUAACGCGUGGGCAACCUGCCUCAUACAGGGGGAUAACACAGGGAAACUUGUGCUAAUACCGCAUAAUAUCAUUGGGUGGCAUCACCUGAUGAUCAAAGGAGAAAUCCGGUAUGAGAUGGGCCCGCGUCCGAUUAGCUAGUUGGUGAGGUAACGGCUCACCAAGGCGACGAUCGGUAGCCGAACUGAGAGGUUGAUCGGCCACAUUGGGACUGAGACACGGCCCAGACUCCUACGGGAGGCAGCAGUGGGGAAUAUUGCG
Molecule: ribosomal RNA, 472 nt
Filed under: uncultured bacterium
Lineage: Bacteria
Description: bacterial SSU rRNA
Rfam family: Bacterial small subunit ribosomal RNA
Source: RNAcentral